GAUGAACGCUGGCGGCGUGCCUAAUACAUGCAAGUCGAGCGAACGGACGAGAAGCUUGCUUCUCUGAUGUUAGCGGCGGACGGGUGAGUAACACGUGGAUAACCUACCUAUAAGACUGGGAUAACUUCGGGAAACCGUAGCUAAUACCGGAUAAUAUUUUGAACCGCAUGGUUCAAAAGUGAAAGACGGUCUUGCUGUCACUUAUAGAUGGAUCCGCGCUGCAUUAGCUAGUUGGUAAGGUAACGGCUUACCAAGGCAACGAUGCAUAGCCGACCUGAGAGGGUGAUCGGCCACACUGGAACUGAGACACGGUCCAGACUCCUACGGGAGGCAGCAGUAGGGAAUCUUCCGCAAUGGGCGAAAGCCUGACGGAGCAACGCCGCGUGAGUGAUGAAGGUCUUCGGAUCGUAAAACUCUGUUAUUAGGGAAGAACAUAUGUGUAAGUAACUGUGCACAUCUUGACGGUACCUAAUCAGAAAGCCACGGCUAACUACGUA
Molecule: ribosomal RNA, 497 nt
Filed under: uncultured bacterium
Lineage: Bacteria
Description: partial 16S ribosomal RNA
Rfam family: Bacterial small subunit ribosomal RNA
Source: RNAcentral